Non-coding RNA from Ixodes scapularis (black-legged tick), 45 nucleotides. The record is from Rfam. Lineage: Eukaryota; Metazoa; Arthropoda; Arachnida; Ixodida; Ixodidae.
UAGACGGCCCUUUUCAGGGCCCCCAUUAUUUUCAAACGAAGCUGU